UUAAUGACUAUGAAGGGGAGUAGUAAUGUCGCUGUCAUACCCUGAAGAGAGCUGCCGGUCGGUGCGAGGCGGUGGGUAAGGUGAAUGAACUCGCCCCGGAGUUGCCCGGUGGAAAAAAGUAUACCGGGACGGCAUGUGCCGUUAACACACCGAGCGGUUAAAGUCAUGGGGAUGUAGCUCAGAUGGGAGAGCGCCUGAAUGGCAUUCAGGAGGUCAGGGGUUCGAUUCCCCUCAUCUCCACCAUGGACUUUAUCAAUUAGGGUGGUACCGCGAGACAAACCUCUCGUCCCUUAC
Molecule: small RNA, 294 nt
Filed under: Desulfoscipio gibsoniae
Lineage: Bacteria; Bacillati; Bacillota; Clostridia; Eubacteriales; Desulfallaceae
Description: Desulfotomaculum gibsoniae T-box sequence
Rfam family: T-box leader
About the family: Uncharged tRNA acts as the effector for transcription antitermination of genes in the T-box leader family. T-boxes are found upstream of many aminoacyl-tRNA synthetase genes and some amino acid biosynthetic genes usually in Gram-positive bacteria.
Source: RNAcentral